AACAUCCCCGCGGAAGAGACCGGGACUGGUUCAGGCCAGACCCGGCGCCGAAGGCGCAACCGCCCCGGAAACGCUCAGGCAAACGGACCGCGUGGGAACU
This 100-nucleotide non-coding RNA is filed under the name Allobosea sp. RAC05. RNAcentral's name for it is "Bosea sp. RAC05 Glycine riboswitch aptamer". It matches the Rfam family "Glycine riboswitch aptamer". Rfam says of the family: This family represents the bacterial glycine riboswitch. Glycine riboswitches usually consist of two metabolite-binding aptamers domains with similar structures in tandem. Lineage: Bacteria; Pseudomonadati; Pseudomonadota; Alphaproteobacteria; Hyphomicrobiales; Alloboseaceae. The record is from Rfam by way of RNAcentral. RNAcentral also lists the same sequence under 1 other name.